This 665-nucleotide ribosomal RNA is filed under the name uncultured Lachnospiraceae bacterium. RNAcentral's name for it is "bacterial SSU rRNA". It matches the Rfam family "Bacterial small subunit ribosomal RNA", at positions 63 to 729 of the family's 1533-position model. The record is from RNAcentral. Lineage: Bacteria; Bacillati; Bacillota; Clostridia; Lachnospirales; Lachnospiraceae.
CGAACGGGAAAUACUUCAUUGAGACUUCGGUGGAUUUGAUUUAUUUCUAGUGGCGGACGGGUGAGUAACGCGUGGGUAACCUGCCUUAUACAGGGGGAUAACAGUCAGAAAUGGCUGCUAAUACCGCAUAAGCGCACAGAGCUGCAUGGCUCAGUGUGAAAAACUCCGGUGGUAUAAGAUGGACCCGCGUUGGAUUAGCUGGUUGGUGGGGUAACGGCCCACCAAGGCGACGAUCCAUAGCCGGCCUGAGAGGGUGAACGGCCACAUUGGGACUGAGACACGGCCCAGACUCCUACGGGAGGCAGCAGUGGGGAAUAUUGCACAAUGGGGGAAACCCUGAUGCAGCGACGCCGCGUGAAGGAAGAAGUAUCUCGGUAUGUAAACUUCUAUCAGCAGGGAAGAUAGUGACGGUACCUGACUAAGAAGCCCCGGCUAACUACGUGCCAGCAGCCGCGGUAAUACGUAGGGGGCAAGCGUUAUCCGGAUUUACUGGGUGUAAAGGGAGCGUAGACGGUGUGGCAAGUCUGAUGUGAAAGGCAUGGGCUCAACCUGUGGACUGCAUUGGAAACUGUCAUACUUGAGUGCCGGAGGGGUAAGCGGAAUUCCUAGUGUAGCGGUGAAAUGCGUAGAUAUUAGGAGGAACACCAGUGGCGAAGGCGGCUUAC